CUCUAUCUCUCAUUUUUCCCACAACUCUCCUGAGUAGUAUUACUCUGCAGAAAUCUCGCCGAAGUUAGCACCACCGAACCGCCGUCCACCCUCUCCCAUAACCGAGCCGACCAAGCCAACGGAAAGCUUAGUCGAAGGUAACUCCUAAAACCGAGUUUUAAAGGUUUUAGUUUCGGGCCGUUUAGUAUUUUCAAGAUUUCUCCCUAACCGCUUCGAAUCUCGCAAAACCAAGGGUACCAUCGGAUUCGUGACGACGAGACGAAGCCGGAGACACCGAGCGCUGCCACCGCCGACGAGCCACACGCCGCCACGCGCCGGAAGAAGGAAGCGCGUGACGCCCACGCGCAGCCACGCGCCGCCGAGUCCUCGGAGCGUGGAGCUCACGCGCUGCCGCCGGUGACCGGAACCGCCGCUGUUCGCCGGAGCCGCCGUGACCGGCAGCCGUCCGUUCGCCGCCGGGAUUCCGCCGCCGCGUCGUCGCCGGACCGCCGUCGCCGCCAGUGACUUUUCCGAUCCGGAGUCGAUUUAUUCAUUCGAGGUCCAGAAGUCGUAGGUUCAGCAUUGCUAAGGUGAGCCAGACGAGUAGUUAUGACUUGAUGAGUUGGGAUGUGUCAUUUUGGGAUGGAUUAUCGUUUUCAGUAUUCUAUUUGAGACUUUUAUUAAACAGUCGUGUUAUCGACUUAUGUGGAUUUAGUAUGUUUUAUCGGAUUUUUGCGCUGGUAUUUUAUAAAGAACUGGAUGUUUAUGGAAAAA
Long non-coding RNA from Arabidopsis lyrata subsp. lyrata, 753 nucleotides. RefSeq lists it as uncharacterized. The transcript has 3 exons. NCBI's taxonomy places the organism in Eukaryota, Viridiplantae, Streptophyta, Magnoliopsida, Brassicales, Brassicaceae. The record is from RefSeq and is a predicted model, not a curated record.